This 274-nucleotide ribosomal RNA is filed under the name uncultured bacterium. RNAcentral's name for it is "partial 16S ribosomal RNA". It matches the Rfam family "Bacterial small subunit ribosomal RNA", at positions 523 to 796 of the family's 1533-position model. The record is from RNAcentral.
AUACGGAGGGGGCAAGCGUUGUUCGGAAUUACUGGGCGUAAAGGGCGCGUAGGCGGCCCGGUUAGUCAGACGUGAAAUCCCUUGGCUUAACCAAGGAACUGCGUUUGAAACUGCCAGGCUUGAGUCCCGGAGAGGGUAGUGGAAUUCCCAGUGUAGCGGUGAAAUGCGUAGAUACUGGGAGGAACACCAGUGGCGAAGGCGGGUUUCUGGGUUGGCACUGACGCUGAGGUGCGAAAGCUAGGGGAGCGAACAGGAUUAGAAACCCCGGUAGUCC